Molecule: non-coding RNA, 72 nt
Organism: Mariannaea sp. PMI_226
Lineage: Eukaryota; Fungi; Ascomycota; Sordariomycetes; Hypocreales; Nectriaceae
Source: the annotation of a GenBank genome assembly
GCCCUUGUAGCUCAGGGGUAGAGCGUUGCACUUGUAAUGCAAAGGUCCAUGGUUCAAAUCCGUGCGGGGGCA